Molecule: long non-coding RNA, 279 nt
Filed under: Mytilus galloprovincialis (Mediterranean mussel)
Lineage: Eukaryota; Metazoa; Mollusca; Bivalvia; Mytilida; Mytilidae
Source: RNAcentral
UAAUCCCAGGAAUAGAUUACCUUAGCCGUAUUUGGCACAACUUUUUGGAAUUUUGGGUCUUCAAUUCUCUUCAACUUUUUACCUUUUUGGCUCUUUAAUCAUUUUGAUCUGAGCGUCACUGAUGAGUCCUAUGUAGACGAAACUCGCGUCUGGCGUAUUAAAUUAUAAUCCUGGUACCUUUGACAACUAUUCCCAACCCAUUCUAUAUUCAAGAGUUUGCAGCUGCUACUCAUACUUUAAAAAACGUCACCAGUUUCUGAGCAAAAUGUUAAUCAACCA